This 253-nucleotide ribosomal RNA is filed under the name uncultured bacterium. Its description in RNAcentral is "partial 16S ribosomal RNA". It matches the Rfam family "Bacterial small subunit ribosomal RNA", at positions 524 to 776 of the family's 1533-position model. The record is from RNAcentral.
UACGGGGGGGGCAAGCGUUGUUCGGAAUUACUGGGCGUAAAGGGCUCGUAGGCGGCCAACUAAGUCGGAUGUGAAAUCCCCAGGCUUAACCUGGGAACUGCAUCCGAUACUGGAUGGCUUGAAUUCGGGAGAGGGAUGCAGAAUUCCAGGUGUAGCGGUGAAAUGCGUAGAUAUCUGGAGGAAUACCGGUGGCGAAGGCGGCAUCCUGGACCGAUAUUGACGCUGAGGCGCGAAAGCGUGGGGAGCGAACGGG